Molecule: ribosomal RNA, 253 nt
Filed under: uncultured bacterium
Lineage: Bacteria
Description: partial 16S ribosomal RNA
Rfam family: Bacterial small subunit ribosomal RNA
Source: RNAcentral
UACGUAGGGCGCAAGCGUUAUCCGGAAUUAUUGGGCGUAAAGAGCUCGUAGGCGGUCUGUCGCGUCUGCUGUGAAAACUCAGGGCUUAACCCUGAGCUUGCAGUGGGUACGGGCAGACUAGAGUGCGGUAGGGGAGACUGGAAUUCCUGGUGUAGCGGUGAAAUGCGCAGAUAUCAGGAGGAACACCGGUGGCGAAGGCGGGUCUCUGGGCCGUAACUGACGCUGAGGAGCGAAAGCAUGGGGAGCGAACAGG